GGAAGAGAAAGAAAAUUCGAUUCCCUUAGUAGCGGCGAGCGAAACGGGAAGAGCCCAAACCAACAAGCUUGCUUGUUGGGGUUGUAGGACACUCUAUACGGAGUUACAAAGGACGACAUUAGACGAAUCAUCUGGAAAGAUGAAUCAAAGAAGGUAAUAAUCCUGUAGUCGAAAAUGUUGUCUCUCUUGAGUGGAUCCUGAGUACGACGGAGCACGUGAAAUUCCGUCGGAAUCUGGGAGGACCAUCUCCUAAGGCUAAAUACUCUCUAGUGACCGAUAGUGAACCAGUACCGUGAGGGAAAGGUGAAAAGCACCCCGGAAGGGGAGUGAAAUAGAACCUGAAACCGUGUGCUUACAAGUAGUCAGAGCCCGUUAAUGGGUGAUGGCGUGCCUUUUGUAGAAUGAACCGGCGAGUUACGAUUUGAUGCAAGGUUAAGCAGUAAAUGUGGAGCCGUAGCGAAAGCGAGUCUGAAUAGGGCGUUUAGUAUUUGGUCGUAGACCCGAAACCAGGUGAUCUACCCUUGGUCAGGUUGAAGUUCAGGUAACACUGAAUGGAGGACCGAACCGACUUACGUUGAAAAGUGAGCGGAUGAACUGAGGGUAGCGGAGAAAUUCCAAUCGAACCUGGAGAUAGCUGGUUCUCUCCGAAAUAGCUUUAGGGCUAGCCUCAAGUGAUGAUUAUUGGAGGUAGAGCACUGUUUGGACGAGGGGCCCCUCUCGGGUUACCGAAUUCAGACAAACUCCGAAUGCCAAUUAAUUUAACUUGGGAGUCAGAACAUGGGUGAUAAGGUCCGUGUUCGAAAGGGAAACAGCCCAGACCACCAGCUAAGGUCCCAAAAUAUAUGUUAAGUGGAAAAGGAUGUGGCGUUGCCCAGACAACUAGGAUGUUGGCUUAGAAGCAGCCAUCAUUUAAAGAGUGCGUAAUAGCUCACUAGUCGAGUGACACUGCGCCGAAAAUGUACCGGGGCUAAACAUAUUACCGAAGCUGUGGAUUGUCCUUUGGACAAUGGUAGGAGAGCGUUCUAAGGGCGUUGAAGCAUGAUCGUAAGGACAUGUGGAGCGCUUAGAAGUGAGAAUGCCGGUGUGAGUAGCGAAAGACGGGUGAGAAUCCCGUCCACCGAUUGACUAAGGUUUCCAGAGGAAGGCUCGUCCGCUCUGGGUUAGUCGGGUCCUAAGCUGAGGCCGACAGGCGUAGGCGAUGGAUAACAGGUUGAUAUUCCUGUACCACCUAUAAUCGUUUUAAUCGAUGGGGGGACGCAGUAGGAUAGGCGAAGCGUGCGAUUGGAUUGCACGUCUAAGCAGUAAGGCUGAGUAUUAGGCAAAUCCGGUACUCGUUAAGGCUGAGCUGUGAUGGGGAGAAGACAUUGAGUCUUCGAGUCGUUGAUUUCACACUGCCGAGAAAAGCCUCUAGAUAGAAAAUAGGUGCCCGUACCGCAAACCGACACAGGUAGUCAAGAUGAGAAUUCUAAGGUGAGCGAGCGAACUCUCGUUAAGGAACUCGGCAAAAUGACCCCGUAACUUCGGGAGAAGGGGUGCUCUUUAGGGUUAACGCCCAGAAGAGCCGCAGUGAAUAGGCCCAAGCGACUGUUUAUCAAAAACACAGGUCUCUGCUAAACCGUAAGGUGAUGUAUAGGGGCUGACGCCUGCCCGGUGCUGGAAGGUUAAGAGGAGUGGUUAGCUUCUGCGAAGCUACGAAUCGAAGCCCCAGUAAACGGCGGCCGUAACUAUAACGGUCCUAAGGUAGCGAAAUUCCUUGUCGGGUAAGUUCCGACCCGCACGAAAGGCGUAACGAUUUGGGCACUGUCUCAACGAGAGACUCGGUGAAAUCAUAGUACCUGUGAAGAUGCAGGUUACCCGCGACAGGACGGAAAGACCCCGUGGAGCUUUACUGUAGCCUGAUAUUGAAAUUCGGCACAGCUUGUACAGGAUAGGUAGGAGCCUUUGAAACGUGAGCGCUAGCUUACGUGGAGGCGCUGGUGGGAUACUACCCUAGCUGUGUUGGCUUUCUAACCCGCACCACUUAUCGUGGUGGGAGACAGUGUCAAGCGGGCAGUUUGACUGGGGCGGUCGCCUCCUAAAAGGUAACGGAGGCGCUCAAAGGUUCCCUCAGAAUGGUUGGAAAUCAUUCAUAGAGUGUAAAGGCAUAAGGGAGCUUGACUGCGAGACCUACAAGUCGAGCAGGGUCGAAAGACGGACUUAGUGAUCCGGUGGUUCCGCAUGGAAGGGCCAUCGCUCAACGGAUAAAAGCUACCCCGGGGAUAACAGGCUUAUCUCCCCCAAGAGUUCACAUCGACGGGGAGGUUUGGCACCUCGAUGUCGGCUCAUCGCAUCCUGGGGCUGUAGUCGGUCCCAAGGGUUGGGCUGUUCGCCCAUUAAAGCGGUACGCGAGCUGGGUUCAGAACGUCGUGAGACAGUUCGGUCCCUAUCCGUCGUGGGCGUAGGAAAUUUGAGAGGAGCUGUCCUUAGUACGAGAGGACCGGGAUGGACAUACCUCUGGUGUACCAGUUGUCGUGCCAACGGCAUAGCUGGGUAGCUAUGUGUGGACGGGAUAAGUGCUGAAAGCAUCUAAGCAUGAAGCCCCCCUCAAGAUGAGAUUUCCCAACUUCGGUUAUAAGAUCCCUCAAAGAUGAUGAGGUUAAUAGGUUCGAGGUGGAAGCAUGGUGACAUGUGGAGCUGACGAAUACUAAUCGAUCGAAGACUUAAUCAA
This 2707-nucleotide ribosomal RNA is filed under the name Staphylococcus aureus H85003. RNAcentral's name for it is "bacterial LSU rRNA". It matches the Rfam family "Bacterial large subunit ribosomal RNA". The record is from RNAcentral. Lineage: Bacteria; Bacillati; Bacillota; Bacilli; Caryophanales; Staphylococcaceae.